UGCCAGACUCCUACGGGAGGCAGCAGUGGGGAAUAUUGGGCAAUGGAGGCAACUCUUACCCAGCAAUGCCGCGUGAAUGAAGAAGGUCUUCGGAUUGUAAAGUUCUUUAAUUGGGGACGAAAAAAAUGACGGUACCCAAGGAAUAAGCCCCGGCUAACUACGUGCCAGCAGCCGCGGUAAUACGUAGGGGGCGAGCGUUAUCCGGAUUCACUGGGUGUAAAGGGAGCGUAGACGGCUGUGCAAGCCAGAUGUGAAAGCCCGGGGCUCAACCCCGGGACUGCAUUUGGAACUGCGUGGCUUGAGUGUCGGAGAGGCAGGCGGAAUUCCUAGUGUAGCGGUGAAAUGCGUAGAUAUUAGGAGGAACACCAGUGGCGAAGGCGGCCUGCUGGACGAUGACUGACGUUGAGGCUCGAAAGCGUGGGGAGCAAACAGGAUUAGAUACCCCCGUA
Molecule: ribosomal RNA, 449 nt
Filed under: uncultured bacterium
Lineage: Bacteria
Description: bacterial SSU rRNA
Rfam family: Bacterial small subunit ribosomal RNA
Source: RNAcentral